This 648-nucleotide ribosomal RNA is filed under the name Ralstonia sp. enrichment culture. RNAcentral describes it as "bacterial SSU rRNA". It matches the Rfam family "Bacterial small subunit ribosomal RNA", at positions 8 to 651 of the family's 1533-position model. The record is from RNAcentral. Lineage: Bacteria; Pseudomonadati; Pseudomonadota; Betaproteobacteria; Burkholderiales; Burkholderiaceae.
AGAGUUUGAUCCUGGCUCAGAUUGAACGCUGGCGGCAUGCCUUACACAUGCAAGUCGAACGGCAGCGCGGACUUCGGUCUGGCGGCGAGUGGCGAACGGGUGAGUAAUACAUCGGAACGUACCCUGUUGUGGGGGAUAACUAGUCGAAAGAUUAGCUAAUACCGCAUACGACCUGAGGGUGAAAGCGGGGGACCGCAAGGCCUCGCGCAGCAGGAGCGGCCGAUGUCUGAUUAGCUAGUUGGUGGGGUAAAGGCCCACCAAGGCGACGAUCAGUAGCUGGUCUGAGAGGACGAUCAGCCACACUGGGACUGAGACACGGCCCAGACUCCUACGGGAGGCAGCAGUGGGGAAUUUUGGACAAUGGGGGCAACCCUGAUCCAGCAAUGCCGCGUGUGUGAAGAAGGCCUUCGGGUUGUAAAGCACUUUUGUCCGGAAAGAAAACGCUCUGGUUAGUACCUGGGGUGGAUGACGGUACCGGAAGAAUAAGCACCGGCUAACUACGUGCCAGCAGCCGCGGUAAUACGUAGGGUGCGAGCGUUAAUCGGAAUUACUGGGCGUAAAGCGUGCGCAGGCGGUUUUGUAAGACAGGCGUGAAAUCCCCGAGCUCAACUUGGGAAUUGCGCUUGUGACUGCAAGGCUAGAGUAUGU